UACAGAGACUGCAAGCGUUAUUCGGAUUCACUGGGCGUAAAGGGUGCGCAGGCGGCCAAGUGUGUGAGGCGUGAAAGCCCGAUGCUCAACAUCGGAAUUGCACCUCAAACUACAUGGCUAGAGCAUUGGAGAGGGUAGCGGAAUUCACGGUGUAGCAGUGAAAUGCGUAGAUAUCGUGAGGAACACCAGAGGCGAAGGCGGCUACCUGGACAAUUGCUGACGCUCAGGCACGAAAGCGUGGGGAGCGAACAGG
Molecule: ribosomal RNA, 253 nt
Filed under: uncultured bacterium
Lineage: Bacteria
Description: partial 16S ribosomal RNA
Rfam family: Bacterial small subunit ribosomal RNA
Source: RNAcentral